AGCAAUCAGAUAAGUUGGCUUUUUCCUCUCUCUUUUUCCUCCCCUGCCUCUUGCUGCCUGCUAAUUAAAGAGAAAAACGAAACGCGUAGGUUCAGGGCUUUUAAUUUUAAGGCCCUUGGUCUAUUUUUUUUCCACUACCCGCGCCAGCACGUUCUUUCUCCUCUCUAUCGUGCGGCUAGCCCAUCUUCUGCCCCCAUCGCCGGUCAGCUUCCUACCCUACCGCGGCAGAUUCUCUCUCUUCCCUCUCUCUGUUUGCCCUCUUUCCCCUGACGCGUUCGCCGCCGUUUCUUUCUCAGUCCCAGGAGAAACAAAGAAUGGAAACACAAAAGAGUCACCCUGACAAACAACCAUCACCAGUUGUGGCUUCAUGUAGGAAGAAAAAGAAUGAGGAAGCAGCUUUCCUUGAAGACUUGAAGGAUCACAUUGAUGAGUUCAUUAAUGCAUCAAUGGAUGAGCACAUAGGUUGCUUUAAGAAGACCAUCCAAAAGAUGUUUGGAAUGUCAAAAGUUGUAGCAGAAAGGAGUGCUGAAUCUAAGGAAGUUGAAAGUGUUCUGCCCUUUCGAACAACAUUGUCAAAAUAAAUGUUGAUAUGGUCAUGGAGACUCUAUUAACCCGCGGGCUUAAACCAAAACCCACAUAUCUCAGCCCCUCAAAUAGGAGACUUGAGAUCUUGUUUAAGGAAGGCCAAAUGACUUUUGCUGACAUGCCACUCAUAAAUGAGCACCAGCUCCAAUUGGAUUCAAUCAUGGAGGAUGUGGUGAAGAGAGAAAUGAUUAAGUGGCUGGUUGCGGGUAUUAAAUUUGGUGUCAUCACUAUGGCCAAUUCAGAUUGAAGAUGAAGAGAAAGUCAAGCUGAUUGACUUUAAAUUCAACGAUUUUUGGAAGGUAUCCUAAGUUUGUUUUCUUUUAUCUGUUAUGUUAGUUUGCUUUCUUUACUUGUAGGUAAAAAUAAAGCCAAUCACAGAGCUUCAAAGAGGUCAUCAGUCCACAUUAGAGGAGUAAAUUGAAGGACUAGGUAAUUAAUCAUGCUUAAGGAUGCCUUGGUGCUACAUUGCUUGAGGAAUUUGCACUCUAAACCGAGAUCUUCAAUUGAGCUACAUGUUCGGACCUUAUGUGCAUAACAAGAAACUUGAGAAGCCAAGAAAAAUGACUACAAGCUGCCAUUGCUGUGAGGAACUUGUGUGCAUAAACUAAGAGCCGAAUUGGAAAAGCCAUGGUUGCCAAGCUUGCAAGGAGGGACAUGAGCAGAUUAGAGCUGAUGGGAACUGAAUUUUAUGAGUUGAAGAAGCCAUUAAGAGAUCUAAAAAAUGCCAACACCAUAAGCCAAGGCAAAGCCAGCACCAUGAAGUGCCAAGUCGAGAGUUGCCUUAUUGAUUACUUGAAUGAGCCUAGUCCAUUACAUGAGCUAACUUGCAAGAAUAAGGGGCUGAUUUAGGUAAGCUUGAAGCCAAUUUUAGGAGCUGCUGAGGUGAGCCACUAAGCCAUAUUUAAGUGCACAUGCAACAGAGAAAGGAUGGCACAAAAGAAGGGGGACCAAUGCACUAGAGGACAAAGUUGGACCAUAAUGAAAAUGACUGGAAGCCACUACACUCUACUGUAAUUCGCAAUUUGGGAGAAUAUUUAGGCUGUAACUUUAGAGGAUUAUGUGUACAAUGAGAUGACAUUAAGGUGGGAAGGCAUUGGCCCACCUAGGAUGAAGCACAUGGGCUGUAAAGAAGGUGGAAAGGAUGCAUGGGAGACAAGUAUGCCAAAUCUGCCAGCGUAGUUUGGGGACCAUUCCAGUCUUCAUUCUCUCUCAUUUGAGGUGCAUACAUGGCCAUCUACUUGUCCUUUAUGUAGCUACAUAAUCCUCUCCCAUUGGUCCAAUUGUACAAGCUCAUAUGAAGCAAAUUUCAUGGACAAAAUAGCCUAGGCAAUCACUAUUUUUUAGCACACGAAUUCUCUUCAUUCUUCAAGCAAUUAAGGGGCUGACUUUGACAAUUUAAGCAAAAUAUAACUGGCUGUAAAAAUACCUAGGAUGUACUAUAAAUAGAAUAUGAUAGGGCUAAACCAAUAAACCAAGGGAGCCCCCUUUGGGUUUUUUUUUUUUUUGGCUGCCAGUGAUGCCUCCUCCAGGUAGCAGCCUUGCUGACCUUGUUAGCUGGCUUUAGGGGCCUCCAUUUUUGCUCCCGUCUCCUAGUAUCUUCAUAGCUAUUUACCUUUUUUCAUUUACCUUUUCUGUACUAACCUUCACUUUAAAUAUUAGACCUUUUCAUUUUGCAAUGUAAUUUACAAUUUCCUUUUACUUUAUUUCCAACUCUGUUUGCUCCUUUUUUUUUAAUUUAUUUUUGCCUUACUUUGGGCUUGUUCUUUGGUUGAGAAGGAUAGUUUAUGAAGGUCUUGGGCAUGAGCAAUCAUCCAUCGGGCCUAAAUAACUUGACUCUUUGCUUAGUUCUUUUAAUUUCAAAAUUUUAUUGACUGAUUUUUAGUUUCUGUUUAGCCUUUAAUUUUCGGUUAUUUAAGCUUGUUUCCUUGCUUAUUUGCCUGCUAGUUGAGAUCAUUUUCAUGCCAUUAUAUUAUGUUUAAGUGUUAUUUUCAUGCCUUCAAAUUUUCAAAUGUUUAAGUUCUCUUUGUUUUUCAUUUUCUUAGAAUGUUGCUAUUUCAACUUUGUUUUUUUGCCUAAUCUGUUUAGUUUUGCGUAUUCACUUCCUAUAGUUUUUCUGUUGCAUUUUGAGUUUUUUUUUUUUUAAGUUUAUGAUGUUUGAUUUAAUGUUCCAUUGCAUCUUCUUUGAAUUUAGUAGUUGUUUUCUUCUUGAUUUUUCAAGGCUAUUUAGUUCUCUUCUAGGUUGUUUCCAACCCUUUAAAUUUGCAUUUUAGGUUCUUUAGUAAGUCUUUUUAAUGUUAUUUGAUGUCAUUUAGGUUUGGUUUCAUGUUCAAGUAAUUUCUCAUAUAUUUCUCUAGGUGUUUGUUGAAAGGUUUUCAUGUAGUUUCCUUAAUCUUGCAUUCGGUUUUCAGCUUCUGUUUAAAGCAAAUUUCAGUUAAGUUUUAACUUUUAUAAUGUUGUGUUUCAAGUCUUUUUCAUGCCUUAAUCUUGUUCAUUUAGUGUUAUGCAUGGUAGGGUAGGUUUUAUGAACAUUUAGCUUAAGUUCACCUAGUGUUUGAUGUUUGUUGUUUGUCAUUUUAAUAGGUUUAACUGAUCGAUUUUAGUUGCUGUACAAGUUCUGUUUUCAACUCAAAUUACUGCCUUUUACUUUCAUUUUUAUGCCUUUGAUUUCCCAUGUUACUUGAGUGUUUUGUUCCUGAAUGUCUAGUUGUUUAUUUUCCUUAGAUUCCAUGUUGUUAAUUAGUUGUUUUAUAUUUUAGUGUCAAUUGCUGCCAUGCAUUUUUCAUACUCGGUUCUUAUGUUAGAUUAGGUCCACAUUAUUUUGUGCUUCAUGCAUUUAAGUGCCAUGCAAGUUUCAUUUCAUUUAUGUUCAUGCAUGUUCAUUCUAUGCCAUUUAGAUUUUCUUGCUAACUAGGUUUUCUUACAUUUUUAAAUUUUAUGAUUAGUUUUACUUAAUACAUGUUAAAUUGUAUUCUUCGACUUUCAUGUUUUAGUGUUAGAAGUUAAUUUAAAGCCUUACUUUUUAGGUUUAGAAAUUU
Molecule: non-coding RNA, 3620 nt
Organism: Durio zibethinus
Lineage: Eukaryota; Viridiplantae; Streptophyta; Magnoliopsida; Malvales; Malvaceae
Source: RefSeq, a predicted model, not a curated record